CCUACGGGAGGCAGCAGUAAGGAAUCUUCCACAAUGGACGAAAGUCUGAUGGAGCAACGCCGCGUGCAGGAUGAAGGCUUUCGGGUCGUAAACUGCUUUUAUAUGGGAAGAUUAUGACGGUACCAUAUGAAUAAGGACCGGCUAACUACGUGCCAGCAGCCGCGGUAAUACGUAGGGUCCAAGCGAUAUCCGGAAUUACUGGGCGUAAAGCGUGUGUAGGUGGAUUAAUAAGUGUGAUGCGAAAUCCGGCGGCUCAACCGUUUGGACUGUGUCGCAUACUGUUAGUCUAGAGGACGGCAGAGGUAAGUGGAAUUACGGGUGUAGCAGUGAAAUGCGUAGAUAUCCGUAGGAACACCAAUGGCGAAGGCAGCUUACUGGGCCACACCUGACACUGAGACACGAAAGCGUGGGGAGCGAACAGGAUUAGAUACCCUGGUAGUCCACGCCGUAAACGAUGCAUACUAUUAGUAUGGGGUAUCGACCCCCUGUGCUGAGAAGCUAACGCGAUAAGUAUGCCGCCUGGGGAGUACGAGCGCAAGCUUAAACUCAAAGGAAUUGACGG
This 562-nucleotide ribosomal RNA is filed under the name uncultured bacterium. Its description in RNAcentral is "bacterial SSU rRNA". It matches the Rfam family "Bacterial small subunit ribosomal RNA", at positions 338 to 916 of the family's 1533-position model. The record is from RNAcentral.